CACAAGCGGUGGAGUAUGUGGUUUAAUUCGAUGCAACGCGAAGAACCUUACCUGGUCUUGACAUCCCGGAGACCCUUAGGAAACUAGGGGGUGCUUCCAUCUGGAAGAAUCUGGAGACAGGUGCUGCAUGGCUGUCGUCAGCUCGUGUCGUGAGAUGUUGGGUUAAGUCCCGCAACGAGCGCAACCCUUGCCUUUAGUUGCCAGCAGUUCGGCCGGGCACUCUAAAGGGACUGCCGGUGUUAAACCGGAGGAAGGUGGGGAUGACGUCAAGUCCUCAUGGCCUUUAUGACCAGGGCUACACACGUACUACAAUGGCCGAUACAAAGGGCAGCGACACUGCGAGGUGAAGCCAAUCCCGUAAAAUCGGUCUCAGUCCGGAUUGGAGUCUGCAACUCGACUCCAUGAAGUUGGAAUCGCUAGUAAUCGUGGAUCAGCAUGCCACGGUGAAUACGUUCCCGGGCCUU
RNAcentral lists this ribosomal RNA (464 nucleotides) under uncultured Desulfobulbus sp. RNAcentral's name for it is "bacterial SSU rRNA". It matches the Rfam family "Bacterial small subunit ribosomal RNA", at positions 924 to 1382 of the family's 1533-position model. Lineage: Bacteria; Pseudomonadati; Thermodesulfobacteriota; Desulfobulbia; Desulfobulbales; Desulfobulbaceae. The record is from RNAcentral.